CGGAUUAAUGCCCUCUGGAUUGGGCGGCCAGCUGUUAACUGUCAUUUGUGGGAUCAAGGCCCACUAGUCCGA
Molecule: transfer RNA, 72 nt
Filed under: Pseudocalotes drogon
Lineage: Eukaryota; Metazoa; Chordata; Lepidosauria; Squamata; Agamidae
Description: tRNA-Asx
Source: RNAcentral